This 367-nucleotide ribosomal RNA is filed under the name uncultured organism. RNAcentral's name for it is "bacterial SSU rRNA". It matches the Rfam family "Bacterial small subunit ribosomal RNA", at positions 526 to 896 of the family's 1533-position model. The record is from RNAcentral.
CGUAGGGUGCAAGCGUUAAUCGGAAUUACUGGGCGUAAAGCGUGCGCAGGCGGUGAUGUAAGACAGGUGUGAAAUCCCCGGGCUUAACCUGGGAACUGCAUUUGUGACUGCAUCGCUGGAGUGCGGCAGAGGGGGAUGGAAUUCCGCGUGUAGCAGUGAAAUGCGUAGAUAUGCGGAGGAACACCGAUGGCGAAGGCAAUCCCCUGGGCCUGCACUGACGCUCAUGCACGAAAGCGUGGGGAGCAAACAGGAUUAGAUACCCUGGUAGUCCACGCCCUAAACGAUGUCAACUGGUUGUUGGGUCUUCACUGACUCAGUAACGAAGCUAACGCGUGAAGUUGACCGCUGGGGAUACGGCGCAAGGUUG